CGCGCACAUCGGCAGGCGGGUUUUCGCAUAAAGACGUUUGGUUUAAAACAGCUCUUCGUAAAAGGAACCCGUCGGUGAACGAUUUCAAGCCGUAAAAAUUCGAAAUUAGUAUAAUCGCGAAAAAGAUGCAAGCUUGAAUAUAUUUCCAAGUUCCAAUGGUACUGGUAAGUUUUUUUUUACAUUUUACCCUUUUUUCCUCCAUGAAUACUCCUUCUCUUUGAUAUAUUACUUAAACGAUUGAAGAAGGUAAAUCGCAAGAACAAGUUCCGUGGUGAGGUUUAAGACAUGUAAACAUUGUAAUGCAUUCACCAAAGAAGAUGGAAAUAGGCUUAAAGUGACUGAUAAUUGGUUAUGGAAAUUUACCAAGAGUGAAUUUUUAAUUUUUAAAUAAAAGCUUUCGCAACAAAUUUAACUAGUAAGAUCAACUUGCUUUUACGAGAUGAUUCUUACGGCAACCUAACUCUGUCGAUUGAUGCUAUAUAUUUACUAGUUUUAUUUUUAAAAAUGUUAACUUUUCUCCUUUGUUGUAAUUGUAAUAACUUAAUAGAAAUAAACUGACAAAC
Schizosaccharomyces pombe (fission yeast) is the source of this 563-nucleotide non-coding RNA. Lineage: Eukaryota; Fungi; Ascomycota; Schizosaccharomycetes; Schizosaccharomycetales; Schizosaccharomycetaceae. The record is from the annotation of a GenBank genome assembly.